RNAcentral lists this ribosomal RNA (466 nucleotides) under uncultured bacterium. RNAcentral's name for it is "partial 16S ribosomal RNA". It matches the Rfam family "Bacterial small subunit ribosomal RNA", at positions 28 to 507 of the family's 1533-position model. The record is from RNAcentral.
GAUGAACGCUGGCGGCGUGCUUAACACAUGCAAGUCGAACGGAAAGGCUCCUGCUUGCAGGGGUACUCGAGUGGCGAACGGGUGAGUAACACGUGGGUGAUCUGCCCUGCACUUCGGGAUAAGCCUGGGAAACUGGGUCUAAUACCGGAUAGGACGAUGGUUUGGAUGCCAUUGUGGAAAGUUUUUUCGUUGUGGGAUGAGCUCGCGGCCUAUCAGCUUGUUGGUGGGGUAAUGGCCUACCAAGGCGUCGACGGGUAGCCGGCCUGAGAGGGUGUACGGCCACAUUGGGACUGAGAUACGGCCCAGACUCCUACGGGAGGCAGCAGUGGGGAAUAUUGCACAAUGGGCGCAAGCCUGAUGCAGCGACGCCGCGUGGGGGAUGACGGCCUUCGGGUUGUAAACUCCUUUCGCUAGGGACGAAGCGCAAGUGACGGUACCUGGAGAAGAAGCACCGGCUAACUACGUG